This 586-nucleotide long non-coding RNA is filed under the name Olea europaea subsp. europaea. Lineage: Eukaryota; Viridiplantae; Streptophyta; Magnoliopsida; Lamiales; Oleaceae. The record is from RNAcentral.
AAUCAGGUUACUUGGUGGACAAGCAAUUCAUGGCAACAAUUAAUUUUCCACCCCUUCCCUCCGUUCCCUUCCCUUUCCAUUCCUGCGUAAAAUCAACAACCCAACAAAUAAGACAAAACUUUUACCCCCAAACUGAAAAAGUAAACACACAGCAAAAGGUGAAAAAGAAAAUUACUUAACCCUGGAAAUGAAAUUCGCAUGCUCUGUCAUUUUCGGAGACAAUCCUUCUGUACUCCCAUCCUAUCAUCCACUGGUAAGAUGACACGUGGCGAGGAGAUGCUCUAAAUGGUUAGAUGUUGCUUUCAAUAAAAGGACCAAACCGCCGAAAAUACGGCGGUUGCCGGCGAUUUUCUGUCGGCUUUUAUUCGUAGGUCUGGUGGCCUCCGGGUUCCGCAGUAAACACGCUUUUUGGUGUAGGUAGGAUUUGCAGGUUACUAGAAGAGGCUGGAAGGCGAAUGAAAAGCGUCUUUUUCCCGAGUUAAUUGCUUUAAUGGUAAAUUGAAGAAAGCGUGAAAAGCCGAGUUUUGCAUUGGACUCCGACAAGACGGUGGCUUCAAUGCUUCAUGCAAAACAUGUAGGCUGCAAG